This 487-nucleotide ribosomal RNA is filed under the name Bacillus subtilis. RNAcentral's name for it is "bacterial SSU rRNA". It matches the Rfam family "Bacterial small subunit ribosomal RNA", at positions 393 to 870 of the family's 1533-position model. The record is from RNAcentral. Lineage: Bacteria; Bacillati; Bacillota; Bacilli; Caryophanales; Bacillaceae.
CACGCCGCGUGAGUGAUGAAGGUUUUCGGAUCGUAAAGCUCUGUUGUUAGGGAAGAACAAGUACCGUUCGAAUAGGGCGGUACCUUGACGGUACCUAACCAGAAAGCCACGGCUAACUACGUGCCAGCAGCCGCGGUAAUACGUAGGUGGCAAGCGUUGUCCGGAAUUAUUGGGCGUAAAGGGCUCGCAGGCGGUUUCUUAAGUCUGAUGUGAAAGCCCCCGGCUCAACCGGGGAGGGUCAUUGGAAACUGGGGAACUUGAGUGCAGAAGAGGAGAGUGGAAUUCCACGUGUAGCGGUGAAAUGCGUAGAGAUGUGGAGGAACACCAGUGGCGAAGGCGACUCUCUGGUCUGUAACUGACGCUGAGGAGCGAAAGCGUGGGGAGCGAACAGGAUUAGAUACCCUGGUAGUCCACGCCGUAAACGAUGAGUGCUAAGUGUUAGGGGGUUUCCGCCCCUUAGUGCUGCAGCUAACGCAUUAAGCACUCC